RNAcentral lists this ribosomal RNA (489 nucleotides) under uncultured bacterium. RNAcentral's name for it is "bacterial SSU rRNA". It matches the Rfam family "Bacterial small subunit ribosomal RNA", at positions 777 to 1248 of the family's 1533-position model. The record is from RNAcentral.
AAUAGAUACCCGGGUAGGUCUUAGCUGUAAACGAUGAGCACUUGAUUGGAGGGUCCUCCAUAGCCUUCCAGUCGUAGCGAAAGUGUUAAGUGCUCCGCCGUGGGGGAGUAUGGUCGCAAGGCUGAAACUCAAAGAAAUUGACGGGGGGCUCACACAAGCGGUGGAGGAUGUGGCUUAAUUCGAGGCUACGCGAAGAACCUUAUCCUAGUCUUGACAUGCACGGAUUAACUCGGUUGAAAGCCGAGCCAGGCCUUCGGGUACAACGUGCACAGGUGCUGCAUGGCUGUCGUCAGCUCGUGUCGUGAGAUGUCGCGUUAGGUCGCUUAACGAGCGAACCCUUGUCUCUAGUUGCCAGCGGGUAACGGCCGGGGACUCUAGAGAGACCGGCCGGCGUAAGCCGGAGGAAGGUGGGGAGUGACGUCAGUCCUCAGUGGUCCCUUAUAGUACGUAGGGCUGCGACACGUCCUACAAUGGAGCGUACGAAAGGGA